RNAcentral lists this ribosomal RNA (2256 nucleotides) under Triticum aestivum (bread wheat). Its description in RNAcentral is "partial small subunit ribosomal RNA". The record is from RNAcentral. Lineage: Eukaryota; Viridiplantae; Streptophyta; Magnoliopsida; Poales; Poaceae.
AUGAAAAGGGAUGUAUCUAGAACUAAUAUACAUCUAGAUACAUCCCCUUUAUGGUCUAAGAACCACUUUGCCGAGGCUAGGCGUGAGAAAGUUAGGCUAGGUGCUCAAAUUAGUGAUCUUGAUAGUCGUGUGGAUAGCGUUGGGCUCUCGGAGGCUGAUUGGCAGAUUCGGUAUGGCCUUGAGAAGACGCUCUUGGAUAUUCACCGCCAGGAGGAGGUUUACUGGAAGCAAAGGGGCACGAUUAACUGGACCCUUAAGGGUGAUGCCCCCACGGCUUACUUCUUCGCCAUUGCGAGUGGUAGACGGCGUAGAUGCCUGAUUGAUAGCCUCCUGAUUGACGGUGUUAGGGUUUCGGACCCUACGGUCAUUCUUCGCCAUGUGGUCCAAUUCUUUUCUAAUCUGCUUGCGGCUAGACCUGAGCUUGGCUUUUCGCUUGCACCGGGCUUCUGGGCCCCACUUGAGCGGUUGUCAUCCGCUGAUAAUGAGAUACUGCUUAUCCCCCCUUCUGAGGAGGAAAUCUUCGACACUAUUCGGACUGCCAACUCUAAUGCGUCCUCAGCCCCCGAUGGCUUCUCCAUCCCUUUCUUUCGGCAAUUCUGGCCUCAACUAAAAGUCCUUAUUUCUGUAGUCAUCCAAGGCUUUUGGCUGGGCACUGUUGACAUUUCUAGACUUAAUUACGCUGUUCUCACCCUCAUCCCUAAAAUCAAAGGUGUUGAUCUCAUCUCUCAGUUUAGGCCUAUUGCUUUAAUCAACAACUUUGCCAAGAUGCCUGCUAAGGGCAUGGCCACUAGGUUGUCUCCGAUAGCGCAUCGGACCAUUAGCCCUUUCCAGUCUGCUUUCAUCAAAGGGAGGUUCAUCUUGGAUGGGGUGCUUUGCUUACAUGAGAUAAUCCAUGACUUGAGGGUUCAAGGGACCAAGGCGGUGGUCCUUAAGCUUGACUUCGAGAAGGCUUACGGUUCGGUGAGUUGGAACUUUCUCCGGCAAGUCCUUUUGGCUAAGGGCUUUGAGGGCCCUGUGAUGCAUCGUCUGAUGCAGCUGGUAUCUGGUGGCCACACAGCUGUGGUUGUCAAUGGUCAAACUAGUAAUUUUUUUGCUAACGGUAGGGGCCUCAGACAAGGGGACCCGGCGUCUCCUUUGCUUUUCAAUUUUGUGGCUGAUGCUUUAUCCCGAAUCCUUUCUCGGGCUGCGUUGGCUGGGCAUAUUACCCCGGUGAGCUCUCACCUUAUCCCUCACGACAUCUCUCAUCUUCAAUAUGCGGAUGACACUAUCAUUUUGAUAGAGCUCAAUGAGAACAGUCUCACCAACCUGAAAUUCCUCCUGCUCUGCUUCGAAGCGCUUUCGGGCCUUAAAAUCAAUUUUUCCAAGAGCGAGGUCAUUGUAACCGGGGUUUCGGAUUUGGAGGCGCAACGGGUGGCUCACCUUCUGAACUGUUCCCUUGGGUCCUUUCCUAUCAAAUAUCUAGGCCUUCCCAUCUCCCCGUAUAAGCUCCUGGCGAAAGAUUUCGCCCCGGUGGUCACCAAAGUUGGCAAUAGAGUGCUCCCUUGGCGAGGUCGAUAUAACACGCAAGCGGGCAAGGUUGCCCUUACCAACUCAUGUCUCUCAUCCCUCCCAAUGUUCUUGAUGGGCUUUUAUCUUCUAUCUAAUGGGGUUCAUUCUGGUUUCGACAAGCAUAGGGGUGCUUUUUACUGGAACGCUGCGGAUAAUAAACGCAAGUACAGAUUGGUCAGAUGGGACAUCAUUUGUCGUCCUAAGGACAAAGGGGGCCUUGGCAUUAUUAAUACGAGAGUUAUGAAUAAUUGUCUCUUGAUUAAAUGGUGGUGGAAGAUCAUGACUCUUGAGGAGCGUCCAACCUGGCUCUCGAUUCUAAAAGCUAAAUACUUCCCCUCUUCGAGCCCAAUGUUUGCCUCUGCUUCUGGCGGGUCUCAAUUCUGGUGUCAACUGGUUAAAGUUCGCCCGAUUUUUCGGUCCUUAGUUAAGUUUGUUGUCAGGAACGGUAAGUCCACGCGGUUUUGGAUAGAUUGGUGGGUCGGGGACUCUACGCUUGCGGCUACCUUUCCGGCCUUGUUCUCCUACUGUGAUGAUGCUGAGAUCUCUAUCUUUGAGCUCUCGGUUAAGGGAUGGGUUUUAGAUUUUCGGUGUUCUCUUUCCCCUGAAGAGUUGGAAGAUUGGCAGCGCCUUACUGCUUGCUUCCCCUGCUCUCGGAGGAAGAGGAUUCUGUGGUGUGGCCCCUCUCCUCUUCGGGGCGCUUCUCUGUAA